This 253-nucleotide unclassified non-coding RNA is filed under the name uncultured Pirellulaceae bacterium. Its description in RNAcentral is "contains 16S-23S intergenic spacer region". It matches the Rfam family "Bacterial small subunit ribosomal RNA", at positions 524 to 776 of the family's 1533-position model. Lineage: Bacteria; Pseudomonadati; Planctomycetota; Planctomycetia; Pirellulales; Pirellulaceae. The record is from RNAcentral.
GACGAACCGGACAAACGUUAUUCGGAAUUAUUGGGCUUAAAGGGUGCGUAGGCGGUGCGGUAAGUCGGGUGUGAAAUCCCUCGGCUCAACCGAGGAACUGCGCCCGAUACUGCCGUGCUUGAGGGAGACAGAGGUGAGCGGAACUGAUGGUGGAGCGGUGAAAUGCGUUGAUAUCAUCAGGAACACCAGUGGCGUAAGCGGCUCACUGGGUCUCUUCUGACGCUGAGGUACGAAAGCUAGGGGAGCGAAAGGG